This 250-nucleotide ribosomal RNA is filed under the name uncultured bacterium. RNAcentral's name for it is "partial 16S ribosomal RNA". It matches the Rfam family "Bacterial small subunit ribosomal RNA", at positions 524 to 773 of the family's 1533-position model. The record is from RNAcentral.
UACAGAGGGUGCAAGCGUUAAUCGGAGUUACUGGGCGUAAAGGGUGCGUAGGUGGUUGAUUAAGUUGGAUGUGAAAUCCCUGGGCUUAACCUAGGAACUGCAUCCAAUACUGAUUGACUAGAGUAUUGUAGAGGGUAGUGGAAUUUCCGGUGUAGCGGUGAAAUGCGUAGAGAUCGGAAGGAACACCAGUGGCGAAGGCGGCUACCUGGACAAAUACUGACACUGAGGCACGAGAGCGUGGGGAGCAAAC